RNAcentral lists this long non-coding RNA (6099 nucleotides) under Brassica rapa (field mustard). RNAcentral describes it as "long non-coding RNA (BRAP_LNC008285)". Lineage: Eukaryota; Viridiplantae; Streptophyta; Magnoliopsida; Brassicales; Brassicaceae. The record is from RNAcentral.
UUGAACUGAAGAGAAGAUGGAGCUUGUACAAUAAUAGGGCAAGCUCUAGAAGAUGUCCAGAAGAGUUCAAUCAAGCUUCAGAAGUUAUUAGAAGCUGAUGCAAAGAAGAGACAAGAUCUAAGAAGUGUCUUGAAGGUGUAUACAAGACAUUGGAGGAGUUUGGGAGAUUAUGGUUGAUGGUGCAAAGAUAGGGAUCGGCCUGUACGGACGGACGUACGGAUGGUACGGACCGUACGGACAUGAUCAACCCAAAACUUAUCAGGUAGACCAUUUGAGCACAUUUGAGGAAUGUGCAAUCUUAGGGCACAAGGUGUACGGUCAUGACAUCCGUACAGCCAAGUCUGAUCAUGUCUUGGGAGACAAGGCAAGGAGAAGGGCGUGUGAGACUAUCCAAGGGAGAAAGAUCCAUUUGGCAUAUUCAAAGAUGCCUUAGGAAGCAACCAGGAAGGUGCCUUUCUCUCCAGCUCACACAGACCAAUCACAGCCAAGUAUUCAGUCCACAAGACAGCUCAUGACAGCCUGUAAAGGCCAGACUCGCCAAAGACUCCCAUUGGCCAAGCAUGUGAUGAUUCUGGUCCAUAGAAUUCAAAUGGGCGCUCCCCUUUAUGCUGACUUCACAUGCUUAGGUUAUCUGAUGAAUUCAGCCUCCAUUUAUGUAUUUAAGCUUCUUGUAAACAAUUGAAAACAUUAAGUGAGUAUGGGGGAUUUCCCCUCUCCUUCUCUAAUCUCUAAACACUUCUCUUAGUCUCUCAGUCUCUUAAUCUCAUUCUCUUUAGUCUCUUAAACACUUAAACACUCUCACCCAUCUCUGUUCUUAAAUCACCUAGAACUAAGCUCUCAUUUUUCUCCAUUGGAGUUUAUACACACAUACACACAACCAGAGUAGAGAUCUCUUUAAAAAUCAUAUGGUAUCAGAGCCAGGUUCAUUAGAACUUGGUUCUUGCUUCUGCUGAAGCUCAUAGCUCUCCUCCAUGUCGCUUGAAGCCAAGAAGAAGCUCCAUGGUCCAGCCGGCUGUUCUACUCUUCAAGAAGAAGGUGUGCUCAUCCAUGGUGUCCAGAAGCUGUCUCUGGCCGACCUACACUCUCUCAUGAAGCCCAUGAAGAAGAAAGAACCUUGGAAGCAAUGGUGUAUGAGGCGAUCUCAUCAACCAAGCUUCAAAGCUAUGUCCAAGCUAGGUCUUAUCCACUGUCCAAGAAGAAAGGUGAUAGCUUUCAGCUGGUACUGAUGUGGCGAACUCAACAUGAAGAAAGGUGGGGUCUUUGACAUGGAGAGUUCAAGAGAAAGGUCCAUGGGAGAAGGAGAAGUUGGAAUCGACACCAACAGCUCACUGUCUUGCCAUGUUCUAUGGAGUUUCAAGGAACUAACACUAGUUCCUUGGCUGUAAGAAACCUCUUUCUCUUGUAUAAAGCUUGAGUAUAUUGACUGGUUGUGAUGUGAUUGAAAACCUGAGAAUUGUUUAAAGAUUGCUAAAUGAAUACUUUUAGAAUCUGUCUCAGUAUGCUUAAAGAGCCUGGUUUGGUGAUUAAGAUUGUUAAUAUGCUUAGCUCCGAAUCAUAGUGAUGCUUGUUGUGAUUAAUUGAAUCUGCUUGCAUACAUGGAUUGAAACGGAAUUGAAAGCUGUUGCAUAUAGUCGUGUGGCUGUCUUCCAUUGAGGCAUUAGAUUCAUGUCUAAAUUGCUGAGUAAAGAAGCUUUUAAAAAUGCCUAAGUAACUUGUCUUGAAUCUGUUAGGAUCUUGCUUGUACUUAGAGAGUUAGCUUGCAAAGAAUAGAACUUGAUAAUGCCUUGUGUAUAUAUCUGUUGCAUUGCUUGUGAUAUUGGGAAUCAAACUUGAUAAUUUAUUAAUCAAGAUUUGACAUCAAUACUAUGGAAAAUGGUUAAAUGCUUAAUGUCAGCUCUAAAUUAAACUGUCUUGUUAAGGUGAUAGAUUAGAUUAUCUAAUCAUACUUGCUUUCAUGAGUUAGAAACUGAUUAAGAUUAAUGCAUACUGCCUUGUUGCUGCCUUGUAUUGUUGCAUUUAGAUUAAAGUCUAAGUUGCAUAUUAAGGAGUGAUUAAAAUUGCCUAAAUACUUUGACUUGAAUCUGAUAAGGUAUUGCUUAGUAUUUAGAGAAUGGUUGCUUGCAUAGAUAAGAACUUGACAUUGUCUUGAUUCUAUCUAAUGUUAUAAAGCUUGAGACAUUGGUGAUCAAACUUGAUGAAGUCAAGGAUUGAUCCCAAUGCAAUUGUGUCUUAUCUUGGCUAGAGUUUGAGUGAUGUUUCAGGUUCACAAAAGGUGUUCCUAGUUCAUCAUCAACUCCGAGUUUAAAGAGAAAGAAUGGUGUCCAUUGUGUGUGCAAUGGAGAAUUACUACAAGAAGGGUGAAGCGCAGAUGGUUGUGAAACCCACUUGAAGCUUACUGGUCUUCCUACUACCAUUGCAAGUAACUGAAGAAGAAGCCAACUGGGUCUAGGCAGUGGCGUGCCUAUUCAAGAGGGUGCUCAAACUAAGACAGAGCACUCUUGGCUGUGUGAAGAAGAAGGCUACUCUAUCAAGGCGGCUUCUAUUGUGAGGUGAUUGAAGAAGCAGCUGAAGCAUCCACAAGCAUUCCAUCAUAGUGGUGAAUUCAGAAGGGUGAUUGCAAUAAGAGAAGAAGAAGAAGUAAGGAUUCAAGUGGUAACAUUGAGAACCACUACUCAUCAUCUUAACCAAGGGAGUAAACCUAAUCUCAUCUAUCUUAAUAUAUCUUGAUAGGUUUAUCUCCUGACUAUACUAUGUGCUUGCCCUAAAUCCAUUAAGAGUUGAUAGCUUCUAGUAGAGUGUCUAGGCUAAUUGCACUGAAAUUGUUUUGCUGCUGCAUUGUCUUAUUGAUAGUAAGUAAUGUCUAGAGUCCCAGAAUCUCAUGGUCUGGUUAUUGCAUUAUCUUGGGUGUUGUCAUUAGCUUGAAUCAUCAUGAAUGUGUUGUAGAAUUGAGUAGAAUGUCUCUGCUACUUGCAUCAUGAUGGAUAAGUUAUGUUGCAUACAUAAGCAUAUCUCAUACUGUCUAAGUUCAAUCCUAGUGUUAUCUGAUGCUAGUGCCUAUGUUUAAUCCAUCAAUGAAAGUCUUGCAUCAAUUAGAAAUUGUCUAAGUUGCUUGCAUCAUUGGUUCUGAUUGAAACUGUUGUGCAUAGCUUUAAUAUAAAUCAUGGAUUGAACCUGUUGCAUUCAUAUAGCUAAUGCUUUAAGAUUGUGCAUUCAUGUAGUAAUGCAUUUAAAAAUGAGUCUAAAUUGCAAAUGUACUGAUGAAAGCUUGCAUUGAAUUUAGAGAACUUAAUAAUCAUAAUAACCUAGGAUGUCAAUAUGUGUCUAGAACUUGCAUAGUCAUUGUUAGAGAUAGAAAUCUACUUGUCUUGACUUAGGCUGUUCUGAUUGUUGCUAUGCCAUAGUUAAAUCCAUCAGUGAUGUCUUACAAGCAUUUAGAAGUAUGUCUAAGCUACUUGAAUCAUUGGCUGUGAUAGAACUAGUGAGCAUAAGCAUGAAUUGAGUCACGCUUAUUGCCUUGAUUGCAUAAGUAUCAUCUAGUCUUGUGUUCAUUUGAAGUGAAUCUGUUUCAUUCAUAGUUAGUGUGUAACCUAAUGCAUUCAUCUAUUGUUGCAUUUAAAAAAAAAAAAAAAAAAACAAAACAAACUGAAUUGAACCUAAAAAGAUCAGUGUAUCUUUGCAAAGCAUACAUUGUCUUUACAUAUUCUUGUCUUGAUUGUCUAGCUUGUUUCAAGUAUCAUAUAUUAUUGUGGCAUUGGUGAUCAAACAGGAUGGAUGAUCUUGGUUUGAUCCCAAUGGGAUGAUCUGAUCUUGCAUUGAGUUGUGGUGGUGUUAGGUACACAAGGGAAGUGAUACAUGUAACUCGCCAUCAACCAAGAAUGUAGAGACAAAGGUCUUGUGCCAUUGCAUAUCAUCACUUGGACAUGUUAGUCCAUAAUCUACAGGAAGUGUAGUGUGAUUGAUUAUGCAAUGAGAGCUGGCCAUUGCAUAAUACCAUUGGACAUAUCUAGUCCUUAGUCUACAGGAAGUGUAGCAUGGGUCAUUAUGCAAUGAGAGAUGUGUCUUGUGAGACUCUCUAUGGUGAUUCAAACACCCUAAUUCCUGGUUAAGGAAGAGAGAAAACUCACAAGAAGAAAGCUAUCAUAAAAGAUGAUAGUUAUUAGACCAUGGAGAUGCAUAGGAUCAUCACAAGCUUAGCUCCUUCUAGUCUCGGUUCUAAGCUUGAGGGGGAGUCUUAAUGCAUAUGAUCCAUGGUCAGUAACAAGUCUUUGCAAAGGCUUCUACAAGGAUCAUCAACCGGACCAAGUCAGUGGCGUGUCUAGGCAAGAGGCUGUUCAGAGCAGCCUUGGCGAGUGAGGAAGAAGGCUCUCCAUCAAUGCGGCUUCAAUGAGAGGUGAUUGAGGAGAAGCUGAUGAAUCCAUUCUGCCUUUCCAAGAAGUUGAUGAUGCCAUGAAGAUGGUGCAUUGAGAGAGUUUGGAAACUCACAAAAACACAAGGGAAGUUCCCUUAGACUUUUAAAACUCUUUUCAAUCUUUUUCAUUCAUCUUACUCAUUGCUUGUGCUUGAAAAGAUACUUAAGAUGAUUAUGAUUGAAUUGUGAGAUUGUGUGCAUCAAGUGUGAUGCAGGAUAUUCAUUUUCUUGUUUUUGAUAGGUACUGAUGCACCUUUGGGAUAAUGUAUCAGGUACCAUUGCUUGAGCCUCACUAAAGAUGUUCCUGGUCAGUUCCUAGCUUCUCUAAGAUGGCUGAGAAGUCUGUUGAGAGGGGGAGAUCCAAACCAGUUCUAUGAAGAGGGCAAGCCGUGUGUGAAGUGUUGAUCAGCCUCACUAGUGUUUUGAAGAUGAUCUGGUCGUGUCCUAGCUUCUCUAAGAUGGCUGUGAAGUCAGUUGAGAGGGGGAGACUUCAAACCGGUUCCAUGAAGAGGUGAAGCUGAAGUGUGAAGUGUGAAGUGUGCGCAAAGCUGUGAAGAGUUGCUGCACCUGUUAGGCCGUGAUCCAGAGCUUCUUGUGUCCAACCACACUGGUUCUAAGGCACAAGAGCUCACUGGCCAAUCCCUAGGCUUUGGAGAGCUCUACUCUUUUUCCCUUGCAAGGUUUUGUCCCAAUGGGUUUUCCUUGUAAGGUUUUUAAUGAGGGAGACUCUUCAGAGUUCCAAGCUUGGCUUAGGAUCUCCUAAAGUCAAGCUUGAGGGGGAGUGUUGAACUGAAGAGAAGAUGGAGCUUGUACAAUAAUAGGGCAAGCUCUAGAAGAUGUCCAGAAGAGUUCAAUCAAGCUUCAGAAGUUAUUAGAAGCUGAUGCAAAGAAGAGACAAGAUCUAAGAAGUAUCUUGAAGGUGUAUACAAGACAUUGGAGGAGUUUGGGAGAUUAUGGUUGAUGGUGCAAAGAUAGGGAUCGGCCUGUACGGACGGACGUACGGAUGGUACGGACCGUACGGACAUGAUCAACCCAAAACUUAUCAGGUAGACCAUUUGAGCACAUUUGAGGAAUGUGCAAUCUUAGGGCACAAGGUGUACAGUCAUGACAUCCGUACAGCCAAGUCUGAUCAUGUCUUGGGAGACAAGGCAAGGAGAAGGGCGUGUGAGACUAUCCAAGGGAGAAAGAUCCAUUUGGCAUAUUCAAAGAUGCCUUAGGAAGCAACCAGGAAGGUGCCUUUCUCUCCAGCUCACACAGACCAAUCACAGCCAAGUAUUCAGUCCACAAGACAGCUCAUGACAGCCUGUAAAGGCCAGACUCGCAAAGACUCCCAUUGGCCAAGCAUGUGAUGAUUCUGGUCCAUAGAAUUCAAAUGGGCGCUCCCCUUUAUGCUGACUUCACAUGCUUAGGUUAUCUGAUGAAUUCAGCCUCCAUUUAUGUAUUUAAGCUUCUUGUAAACAAUUGGAAACAUUAAGUGAGUAUGGGGGAUUUCCCCUCUCCUUCUCUAAUCUCUAAACACUGAUUCUCUUAGUCUCUCAGUCUCUUAAUCUCAUUCUCUUUAGUCUCUUAAACACUUAAACACUGUCACCCAUCUCUGUUCUUAAAUCACCUAGAACUAAGCUCUCAUCUUUCUCCAUUGGAGUUUAUACACACAUACACACAACCAGAGUAGAGAUCUCUUUAAAAAUCAU